GGGGGUGUAGCUCAGUGGUAGAGCGCAUGCUUUGCAGGCAUGAGGCCCUGGGUUCGAUACCCAGCACCUCCA
This is a non-coding RNA of Lontra canadensis (Northern American river otter), 72 nucleotides long. NCBI's taxonomy places the organism in Eukaryota, Metazoa, Chordata, Mammalia, Carnivora, Mustelidae. The record is from the annotation of a RefSeq genome assembly.